GUGUGUGUGUGCCCCAGCAGGAGAAAGCUUUUCCUCUUGCCUGGAAGGAAGAUCUGAAAGAUUAUAAAAGAAACAACCUGGGUGCUGAUGCCAAGCUCCUGCUUUUGAAUGCUGUUUCACAAUAUUGGUCCAAGCGAGCUGCCCCCUCGGUGAACACAGAACAAUUCUGUGCCAGACGAUCAGCAAGUAUUGCUUCCUGUAAAUAUUCUCAACAAGAAGCCAGAACUUAGUUUGGACCAGGGAGUGAAAUUUGAUGUUUGCACACGCAGGAAGCCGGCCAGAAAAAAAGUUGAUAACCCUACAGGAGAGGCAGAUGCACUAAGGAACUGAGGGCCGCUUGGUGAAGGCCCUGGAUCACAGAGAAAGACUUGUUUUUGUUCUCAGCCAGCCUGUAACUCCUUCGUAAGCGUCACUCCACUCUGUGUUAGGAGAGAGCCACAUCAUCCUGGCAUUUCCUCCACUCAGGCACAUGAGUGGCAUGGAACGUGAACUCCAUGCUGCUGCCAUAGUAGUGACUCCUCUGCAGCACCUGCCCAUGUAGUGAAACAAGUUUUACUUCCUCCAACAAACAAAUUGUAUAUGUACAUGUUUGCAGUUUGCAUAGAUAAGAUGUAGAAAGUAUUUGCAACACUGGCAAGAUGUUUUUUAGAAGCUCAGUUCUGCUAUAUAAUUUGGCCUAAGAAUUAAGUCCUAAGGCUGCUGUGCUCUGUGUACUUCUCCUGUGGCCCCUUAAAGACUACCUCAUUUAUUGUGAUGUGAA
Molecule: long non-coding RNA, 760 nt
Organism: Hemicordylus capensis (graceful crag lizard)
Lineage: Eukaryota; Metazoa; Chordata; Lepidosauria; Squamata; Cordylidae
Exons: 4
Source: RefSeq, a predicted model, not a curated record